UCUUCCUGGCUGUUUCUGUUCCAACAGCUGUGUUGAUCUCACGUCUGAUUGCCUGAUGAGAUCGCAACCAGUUCAUUGACAUACAGCUUCGCUCUCCUCCAAAUUAACUGAUUUUUGUGAAAUAAAAAAUAAUCAUACUGGGAGGAAAGGAUGACCUUCAGAAUGUUUUACACUCUGAAAAGCAAGGAAAAAUUGUACAAGCACUGUGGUUGAAAGUACUGAGACAAGAAAAACAUCUGGCCAUCACAAUGGAAGGAUUUUCCACUUUAUAACAUGUUAUCAGUCUUUUUCAACCAAAAAUGGAAGAAGCACAAUGUGUUCCAUGGAUGGCAGAAGACAGUUGCAGCUGAUUUAAGGAUGUGGCUAGAAUCUUGCAUGUCCUUGGCUUCUUAAUCAGCCUAGUCCCGACCUCAUAGUGGUGGCAGACAUCAUACACUGACAAGAUGGAUUGUUUGGAAGACCUUUCUAAAACCUG
Long non-coding RNA from Camelus dromedarius (Arabian camel), 475 nucleotides. RefSeq lists it as uncharacterized. Lineage: Eukaryota; Metazoa; Chordata; Mammalia; Artiodactyla; Camelidae. The transcript is spliced from 3 exons. The record is from RefSeq and is a predicted model, not a curated record.